AUCGCUGUAUAUUCAAAUAUAACUAUAUCAACAUAACUGAAAUAUUCUGGGUAGCCAUAUUUAUUUAUUUUAUAUUUAUUUUGUUUUUUUACCUUUACAACCUUGCAGAUUUGGACAAUACAUUACAGAGAACUGAGAUACCGCGAAAAAUAAUAUAAUCAGGGCUGGAAAUGGGGGAGGGCGUUCCAGUUUAAACCUGCGAAAGCGAGUUUCGCACGUAAGUGUAGCCGGGAAUGAGUCCAAAUACCCGGAAAUGAGUUAGCAUUUUAGCAUUUCCGGUUCUAUCGUCUUGAAGUUAGUCAUUUUUUAAGAAAUGGGUUUUUGGUUGAAUGCAUGAAAUAAGGUCUGUAGUUAACACAUGUUCUCCGACAUGAAAUACACCAGUAAUACCCCACUCAGGAUUUUUAAAAAAGGUUUUACGUGUUUUGAAAAAUACAGUUGAUAACACGUGGCUAAAUGGUACUACAGAAGUUGUCGGGGACAUUAAACGUCAUCACGCCGAACAGGAAAACUAAUCUACUACAUCCUCAUUGUGUUUAUACUCGCGCUCUUGUAAACUAUUCCAACUCAAACUUGUAGAUUUAUCAAUUUAUAGUAUCUUCCAAUUGUAGGGCAUUUACAGAAAGAUUGAAAGAGUUGUCGGAAGCUUAGUGGUGGUGACGUUGAAGUCAUGCGACCGUGGUGUAGUUCGUUUAUAGCCUCACAUUAGCUUUUUACUUCUGGCGAUUGUAUAAGGCUUAAAAUUUCAUAAAAGCUAUGUGAAGAAUAUCUUAAUGAAAAAAAACGUUUAAGAAUCAUAAACUUUUGUUGGGCUCAGUGCUUAUUUUCUGCAAUAAUCUAAUAGCUAAUUUUAAAAAAAUGUCGAGGGAAGACGCUAACUUCCGGGUUGGCCUACGGGGGGGAAAAAGCGUCAUCCCUGCAGCACUCUGCAAUGUUGACUUUUGUGAUUGGCCAGAACACCCUACAGGCUGCAGCCAAUGGGAGCGUUUCUCUUAUCAGCGCGCGACCUCACAGGACCAAUCAGACCACACCAAGGAUGUUAACCACUUCCCUGCACCAAAGGAGCACUCCACACUCCAAUCCAGUAGGUGGUGGGAAUGCACCAUUUAAGUUGGAUUGCCAUCCACCAUAAAACACCAGAAGAAGAAGAAGAAGAAGAACAAGAAGAACUUCCCUGCACCCACUUCAGGCCUUUUCAGAUAAGAUUGGACACCCCUGAACUUGAAUGUUGGGAAUCGAUUUUUAGAUACACAUGUGUCUUACAUCAAAUGCAGCACACUGGUGUUGAUUUAACUUGCAUUUCAGGCCACGGUCAAGCCAGCCAUGGUAGAAACCGGAGUGCAGUACAGUAACUACCCUUCCAAUGGGUGGAAAAGGCUGCCACCUUGUUGGUUUUGGUUAAGCAGUGUGAGCUGUGAGCUCAUGUGUGCUGUACAAUGGCGGUCGCUACACCACAGAUCUGCUAUGAAUUCUGGAUAGUGUGACAAAGUUGAGCAGUAGUGUACUUUAGACCAUUUCACUGUUAUUGUGUCCAAGCUCAUGCGGGCCAAAUGAAACAAGGCCUUGUGUUUGACAUGUGCUAUAGAAGCUAAGUAUGCAACAUGUAGAAAGGCGAGGAAAUCAGUGGCUUAUAUUUGUCAAAUUGCAACAUUCUAAUAAAAUCACUUUUGCUCAAUCAAAA
This is a long non-coding RNA of Ictalurus punctatus (channel catfish), 1681 nucleotides long. RefSeq lists it as uncharacterized. Lineage: Eukaryota; Metazoa; Chordata; Actinopteri; Siluriformes; Ictaluridae. The record is from RefSeq and is a predicted model, not a curated record. The transcript is spliced from 2 exons.